AUUGAACGCUGGCGGCAUGCCUUACACAUGCAAGUCGAACGGCAGCGCGGGGCAACCUGGCGGCGAGUGGCGAACGGGUGAGUAAUAUAUCGGAACAUACCCUAGAGUGGGGGAUAACGUAGCGAAAGUUACGCUAAUACCGCAUACGCACUAAGGUGGAAAGUGGGGGAUCUUCGGACCUCAUGCUCAUGGAGUGGCCGAUAUCUGAUUAGCUAGUUGGUGAGGUAAAGGCUCACCAAGGCGACGAUCAGUAGCUGGUUUGAGAGAACGACCAGCCACACUGGAACUGAGACACGGUCCAGACUCCUACGGGAGGCAGCAGUGGGAAUUUUGGACAAUGGGGGCAACCCUGAUCCAGCAAUGCCGCGUGAGUGAAGAAGGCC
Molecule: ribosomal RNA, 383 nt
Filed under: uncultured bacterium
Lineage: Bacteria
Description: bacterial SSU rRNA
Rfam family: Bacterial small subunit ribosomal RNA
Source: RNAcentral